Cebus imitator (Panamanian white-faced capuchin) is the source of this 125-nucleotide small nuclear RNA. NCBI's taxonomy places the organism in Eukaryota, Metazoa, Chordata, Mammalia, Primates, Cebidae. The record is from RefSeq and is a predicted model, not a curated record.
CUGUUGUAUGAAAGGAAAGAAGGCUUAACAUUCCUCUGCACAAAGAUGAAAGAGGCCCUUGGGCCCAAGAACAUGCAUAGUUAAGGCAUUGUCACCUACUUCGUGACAUCUAACCAUGGUUGAAU